GUGAGGAAUAUUGGUCAAUGGGCGGAAGCCUGAACCAGCCAUCCCGCGUGAAGGAAGGCGGCCCUAUGGGUUGUAAACUUCUUUAGUACAUGAAGAACAGGAUCUACGCGUAGGUUUAUGACGGUAAUGUACAAAAAAGCAUCGGCUAACUCCGUGCCAGCAGCCGCGGUAAUACGGAGGAUGCGAGCGUUAUCCGGAUUCAUUGGGUUUAAAGGGUACGUAGGUGGCCCUGUAAGUCAGUGGUGAAAAUCUGCCGCUUAACGGUAGGGGUGCCAAUGAUACUGCGGGGCUUGAGUACAGUUGAGGUAGGUGGAAUGUGUAGUGUAGCGGUGAAAUGCAUAGAUAUUACACAGAACUCCGAUUGCGAAGGCAUCUUACUAAGCUGAAACUGACACUGAUGUACGAAAGCGUGGGGAUCGAACAGGAUUAGAAACCCGUGUAGUCC
RNAcentral lists this ribosomal RNA (445 nucleotides) under uncultured bacterium. Its description in RNAcentral is "partial 16S ribosomal RNA". It matches the Rfam family "Bacterial small subunit ribosomal RNA", at positions 354 to 796 of the family's 1533-position model. The record is from RNAcentral.